GACGAACGCUGGCGGCGUGCUUAACACAUGCAAGUCGAACGGAAAGGCCUGCUUUCCCUUGUGGAUUGCGGGUACUCGAGUGGCGAACGGGUGAGUAACACGUGAGUGAUCUGCCCCCAACUUGGGUAUAAGCCUGGGAAACUGGGUCUAAUUCCCGAUAGGACUGCAGGGUGGUGCCUGUGGUGGAAAACGAUUUUCUAGUGGUUGGGGAUGAGCUCGCGGCCUAUCAGCUUGUUGGUGGGGUAAUGGCCUACCAAGGCGGCGACGGGUAGCCGGCCUGAGAGGGUGGACGGCCACAUUGGGACUGAGAUACGGCCCAGACUCCUACGGGAGGCAGCAGUGGGGAAUAUUGCACAGUGGGCGGAAGCCUGAUGCAGCGACGCCGCGUGGAGGAUGACGGCCUUCGGGUUGUAAACUCCUUUCGACCGCGAGGAAGCCACCUGGUUGGAAGGGUGGUGACGGUAGUGGUAGAAGAAGCACCGGCUAACUACGUG
Molecule: ribosomal RNA, 494 nt
Filed under: uncultured bacterium
Lineage: Bacteria
Description: partial 16S ribosomal RNA
Rfam family: Bacterial small subunit ribosomal RNA
Source: RNAcentral